GAUGAACGCUGGCGGCGUGCCUAAUACAUGCAAGUCGAGCGAACAGACGAGGAGCUCGCUCCUUUGACGUUAGCGGCGGACGGGUGAGUAACACGUAGAUAACCUACCUAUAAGACUGGGAUAACUACGGGGAACCGGAUCUAAUACCGGAUCACAUGUCGAACGGCAUGGAUCAACGGUGCUACACGUUCUUGCUGACACUUAGAGCUGGUUCCGGGCCGGAUUAGCUAGUUGGUAAGGUAACGGCUUACCAAGGCAACGAUGCGUAGCCGAUCUGAGAGGAUGAUCAGCCACACUGGAACUGAGACACGGUCCAGACUCCUACGGGAGGCAGCAGUAGGGAAUCUUCCACAAAGGGCGAAAGCCUGACGGAGCAACGCCGCGUGAGUGAAGAAGGUCUUCGGAUCGUAAAACUCUGUUAUUAGGGAAGAACAAAAGUAUGUUAAUCUAUGGACGUCUUGACGGUACCUAAAGAGUAAGCCACGGCUAACUUCGUG
Molecule: ribosomal RNA, 497 nt
Filed under: uncultured bacterium
Lineage: Bacteria
Description: partial 16S ribosomal RNA
Rfam family: Bacterial small subunit ribosomal RNA
Source: RNAcentral